AAACAACAGCAUUUAUAUGCAUAUCGGUUUCGGCCCGAUAAGAGCGGCUACGCAUUGUUUU
This 61-nucleotide transfer RNA is filed under the name Amynthas tappensis. RNAcentral's name for it is "tRNA-Arg". Lineage: Eukaryota; Metazoa; Annelida; Clitellata; Crassiclitellata; Megascolecidae. The record is from RNAcentral.